GCCAAAACACUAAUUAACUUAAAAAUCUUUUAUUACGUCAUCAUCUGCUGAACAAAAAUAAAGAGGUAUCUUGUUAUAUGGUGAUUUUUCCAAUAGAUCUAGCUUCGAUGUGGCUACUGAAACACCACGCACAAAGAAAGGAAAAAAAAAAUUUAAUAUCAGCCGCUAUAUAAAGAAAGCACUUGUUGCAAACGAAAGAUAUCAAAAACAAAAAUGCAUAACAGCUUUGACCUUGGCCACUGCUAAUGGAAGAAUCGCAAUAAAGACCAAUAUCAAUUCCAGUGGAAUUGGAUGAUAGACAAUAAACAAUAUUAUAAUUGAGAAAAUUUAUUAACCGUUAGAUCAAAGUCAUUUCACAUGUCACCAGUGACGGACUCUGCAAAUUUAUUAGUCAGUGGGGCUGAAAAUUGAAAGAUAGAAAAUUAAGAAACUACGUAAAAAAUGAAAAGAAACAAACAUUAGCUUUUAGAAGCUUUCUUUCAAAAUGAAAAAUAAUAGGAUUUUUAACUAACUAGAUUAUGAUAUUUUUUACAUGGCUUUAGAUACCUUACAUAAUUCUUUCACAGCCGUUUGAAGAAUAUUCAAUAGUUAUACAAAUAACAUGAUUUUAUUAUUUUAUAUUUUCACAACUGUUGGAUUUUUAUCAAAUGGUUAUGCAAAAGUUAUAUAACUUACAUAAUAAUGUAAGAUAACAAACUUCAUUUUAUAUAUAAAAAAGUAAAUUUAGGUGCAUUAUUUUUAACGGGAGGGACACUUGUCUUUCACCAAGGCUAUCAAUACAUAUCACCUUAUUUGAGAUCAAUCUUUUGUAGAUAAUAUUUAGGAUGUGUAAUAUUAUUUAUAAAGAAAUACAAAUACAACCAGAAUUAAAAAAAUCACUCAAUUUAUAUCUGUUGUUUGUCUAAAUUACUAGAAGGAGAAUGCUUUUUUGUGGAAGUUCAUUAGAAGCACUUUCCUGCUUUUCUUUAUAUAUAUAUAAAGACUAUACAUAUAUAUUUGCUUUAAAUAUUAAUGGUUCAAAAGUGUUGUUCAGACAAAACUCCAAUUAAAACCAGUAAAAGAUUUGCCCGGACCUCAACAUCGUAAUCAUAGCCUUGAACGGCAGGGCAGAUUAUGCUAUAAAGCAAUUAAAAUAGAUCAUUUGGAUAAUGGCUAAUUAUUAAACAAUAAUGAUAAUCAAAAUUAUGCGACGCCCACGUGAAGCAAAAGUUAUGGACGAUAUGAGCUUUUUAGAAUUUGUGGCUAUUUUUGGGGGGCACUUGUUUGAUGAUCCCGAUGAAAAUUCAUUCUUAUUAUAUUAUAGAGAAUUAUGUGAAGAACGUGCAUAUAAAAUCAAAAAGAAGAGAUUCUCAUGCCCGACAAUGUGAUGUGUUCAGUCAAAUAACGCAGCUCAGUCGGGACUCGGGUGGCAAACAAGCCCCACUUUCUAAAUUUUCUAAAGCAAUGCUAUGAACGUACCAUUUUACAAUGAGUAAUACUUUGGUUACAUAUAGAAUGUAUCACAACUGACAUGCUCGUUCAUAUAGGUUUUAAACUUAGAAUGUUGGCAUUGGUGAUGUAUAAUAAAACUAAUUAAUAUAUUUUAAAUCUUAAUUAGGUUUUAUAUGGGAUUGAGGUCGGAUAACUGUAACUUAGAAGUUAUAACACUAAAAUAUUUAGUAAAUACUAAUUACUGUAUUUUAGUUUCUUAUUUAUGCAGACUAUAAAUUAAUAAAGAUUUUUAAGGCCAAAAUUCACUACAAAAAGUUUUUAAAAAUUUAUUGCUUUCGGAUUAUGAAAUGUGUAUUGAUAAAUUAAAAAAAAAUGUACAUAAAUAAUUAAGAAAUUCAUCCAAUGCUUAUAGAAGAUGUGCUGAUAUUUUAAAAUUUUUUUACCACCCGUGCAUAUUUAUUUUACUAUAUACAGAUAAAAUUUAUUCAAUAUCUAUUCUUAUUCAGUAACUAACAAUCACAAUCUUAUAAAAAGAUUAAAACAGAACUCAUAUGAGUACUGAAUUCAAAUACAUAUAUAAUAAUAUGCACAUACGGAUGACUCAAAUAUGAUAAAAACAUGCAAUCAGUAAGAUGACAUCAACACAGAAAAUUAAAUCAAACUGGUUGCCUAGACCACGCCCAAGGUUUCAGAUCAUCAGAGAAAUUUUACAUCCACAAGUUUAUUAAUUUUUGAAAUUAAAUUUGUAAAAGUCUGUUGUCAUAGAUUGGAGAACAUGCAUCAUAUGGAAUAUUGAAUAUAUAAAUGGGUGGUCUAGAACUUCACCAAUAUUUCAGUGUAUGAAAAAAAAAUUUUUGUUAGAAAAGUGUAUAUAGCAUAUUCACAUGUAGCUGCCUACUUUCGAGUAAUCGUAGUAUAUUGAGAAGCUACUAUUUCUUUCACCCCAAAAAAAAAAAAAGAAAAAGAAAAAAAGAAAAGAUGGCCACUAAUAACCUGCUGACAUCUGCAUGCAGGGUUUGUUAUCAUGUGCCAAGUAAAAGGAAGAGGAGAAAUCUUUGGUGCUCUUAGACUAUUGCGUCUUUCUUAUUUAGUGCUUUGCUACAUGUAUGCUUCAACUAAUAAUAUGCAUACUGAUAGGUCCCAGUCAGAUGCACGCUAACAAUGACUAAAAAAGAUGAUAAUGUUGUUCUGCUUUUGGUGAGAACGGCCAGAGAUAAUUUAGUUUGAUAAUUCCUCUUCUUUUAUUCGCAGCAGAGAACUAAUUUAUAGUAGCUAACCUUACAAGUCUUUGAUUCCUAGCCAAUAAUAUCAGCUAGAUUAUAGUAAAAUAAAACAAGAAGAAAUAUUUAAAGAUAACUUAGAGACCGAAUCCAAAUCAAACAAGACCACCACGCUUUGAUUCUCUUCCAAACAGGAAACGAAUAUUUUGACGUGGUAAUUCUCCUGCUCUCGUUUUGACACUCAAUAAACUCAUCCUGCACGUGAAACACGGUCUGCAUGAAGCCAUGCAUGGCUUGCAUGAGCAACUUGCAUGAGCACAGCUUGGCUCCUUAUCAAUACCCCCUCGUGGAAGAGGACCCUUGUCCUCAAGGGUCAGCAAAGGAAUUAUUGUUGUAGCAAUGCCGUAUCUUCCCAAGUUGUUCUCUUUUGUUUUCUUCACCAUGUAGUUCCUCUGCAACUUCUUCACAAGUGAUCUCGUUGGUGUCGUUGUAGCUCUCGAGAAGUAGAAGUUGAGGCCCUUGACAUUUAUGACCCGCAGUGAAUCGUUCGUUGCAAGUGAAACACAGUCCCUGAGCUCGUCGUCGUUGCAUUUCAUCCCACGGUAAUCUUUUGACAGGCACGGUUGGUGAUGCUUGAGUAGGUGGCAAUGUUGGCGGUGUGCGGCUGGAGGGUGGCUGGAAUAAUCUCCGUUGGCGUGUUAUCUGGUCGUCUUUCAUACGAGCAAGGCUGAUGGCUUCCUUUAACGUACGUGGCCUGAACAUCCGUAUAUCCUCUGCAAUCUCCGGUUUCAAUCCUCCCAUGAAAGUUCCUACCAACGCUUUCUGUGACCACCUAUGAACUCGGUUUCCCAACCUCUCGAAUUUCUUCUGGUAUUCUCGCAGAGAACGUGUUUGUUCGACCCGAGACAGUGCUUCAUCAAAGUCUUCACAAUCCGUUGGUCCGAAGUGCGCCCAAAGCUCGUCAACAAAUGUUUCCCACGUAACCGGUUGGCCUUCUUCUUGGUAAGCCUUGCGCAUCCACUGCCACCAUUGAUUUGCUUCGCCCUCCAAGUGAUAUGACGCUACGACUACUUUUUGCUCAUCUGUGGUUUCUUGGUACUCAAAAUACUGCGUUACCCGAUUGAACCACUUCGUUGGGUCGUCGCCGGCAUAGCGGGGAAACUCCAACUUAGCAAUUCUUGUCGGCAACGGUGGUCGACGUCCUUCACUUUCCUUACGGAAUGGUCGUGAAGAUCCAAUGUGCUCGUUAGUGCCGCGACUGGCAGUGUCUCUGGUUGCACUAAAAGAUUCUACCAAUUUGCUCAGAGUGUCCUCCAGACGCUGCAACUUGUCAUUGAUCCCAAUUUCUAUUUGUUCCAUCUUGUUCUGUAAGUUACCGAUAUCAGCUUCAAUUCGUUCGAUGCGUUCCUUGUUGGUUGCCAUUAAUAGCUAGCUCUGAUACCAAUUGAUAGGUCCUAGUCAGAUGCACGCUAACAAUGACUAAAAAAAGAUGAUAAUGUUGUUCUGCUUUUGGUGAGAACGGCCAGAGAUAAUUUAGUUUGAUAAUUCUUCUUCUUUUAUUCGCAGUGGAGAACUAAUUUAUAGUAGCUAACCUUACAAGUCUUUGAUUCCUAGCCAACAAUAUCAGCUAGAUUAUAGUAAAAUAAAACAAGAAGAAAUAUUUAAAGAUAACUUAGAGACCGAAUCCAAAUCAAACAUGACCACCACGCUUUGAUUCUCUUCCAAACAGGAAACGAAUAUUUUGACGUGGUAAUUCUCCUGCUCUCGUUUUGACACUCAAUAAACUCAUCCUGCACGUGAAACACGGUCUGCAUGAAGCCAUGCAUGGCUUGCAUGAGCAACUUGCAUGAGCACAGCUUGGCUCCUUAUCACAUACUCAUGUGGUAAGUAGAAAGAGCAAUGCUUUUAGAGGACCAAAGAUCUUCUCAACUUCUCCAAAUCCAACAAAAGGAUCCUGUUUCCCAACAUCUUAUAGCCAACUCAUUUUAACAUAUUGUCGCCAUCUAUAGCUUGUCGCCAUCUAUAGCUGGUUUCACUAUACUUCUUUCGGAUAUAAGAGUAGCCAUAUAGGGGUUGGAAGGGGAAUGGUGUCAAAUCUUAAAUGAAUUAGGUAGAAAUUUUUACUGACAAAUUUGAUCCAUUUAUUAAUUGAAUCAUAACGUUAAAAUUUGAAUUUGAUCGAUUUUAUAAAUGAAUUGACAUUAUUUAAUUUGUUUAAUUCGUUGAUAUAGAGAGUAAUAAUAUAUAUAGCUACAAAUUCUUGUAUAAUUUUUUGUUUUUGCAUAAACUGAUGUGGUAUGAUUUAAUUAGUUGAUUUGGAUAUCUCUUGAUCCACAUAAUUUGUUUUUAUUAUUUUGUAUUUUUAUUCAACCAGUGAGUUAAUUCUAAAUCAGUUAAUUUGUUCAAGAGUUUGUACUUGUAUCAUCACUUAUCAGUAAAAGAAUCUUGUCGAGUUUUGACACAACACGAAUCAAUUAGAUUAGUUACAGAUGAAUAAAAUGAUUGGACCCAAAAUCGUUUCGUUUAACAAUUUUAAUUUAAGAGUAAUGCUAUCAUCAUGUUGAACUCGAUCGUCAGCUAUAUAUUGGGAUAGCUGGUCAUCAUCAAGCACCGAACUUUCUAUAUAUAUAUAUACAUGUUGGACCAAGAUAAGCAAAUAACCAAUCUUAAUCCCCAAGAUCCACUCGACUUAGCUUUAAUCAAAGAACUAAUUAAGAUCAACUAAUGCUACGUGGAACUAUUUAUCGAAAUCAACAGAUAUCAAACAAAAGAAACACAGAAAAACAAUCUCACAGCAACACAAGAGGGGUUAAGUGGUUCAGUCACGAAGUGACCUACAUCCACUGUGAAAGAGAGAGAGAGCCUUUACUGAUUCAGUGUACACAAGAUACAAGAUGCCUUAGAAAACUAUCACGCACUUCAACUCUACAACAAUGAAGUGAAUACCACUUAUAUACACGCUUGAAUUGCUCUAGAAACAACCCCCAGAAGCCAGCUCACCAGACCUGGGUUUGUUUGAAACAAACCCAGAAAUUUCCCGCUGAUCUCAACAGCAUUAACAGCCAUUCAAACUGGCUUCAAUACACGUGUAGAAGCUUCACUCAAAACGUAGCCUUCUUCAGUUGUUUAUAGUAAGUAAAGCAUGUGCAAUAUCACGUGCUUAACUUAUUCAUUUGGCUGAUGCUCCAGGCUUGUCAUACGUCUCAUUUAUGACACAUAACCUACAUAUCAUCCAGUCCUGAAACGCAAGACUGAUAUGUUGUUUUCAACUACAAACUUAGAUUUGCAGUUCACUUCUCAACAUUCUCCACCUUGAACCAAAUCUGUUACUUCUCUUUUUUCUCCAUCACCAUAUCUUCUGCAGCUUAGAUCCUGCAGACACUAGCUGAGUUCACACAGAACUCAAACUUGGCACCAGGUAAAGCUUUGGUUAACAUGUUUGCCACAUUGUCAUCAGUGUGUAUUUUCACCAAUUUUACCACUCAUUUUGACACUUCCAGCCUGACAAAAUGAAGCUUGAUGUCAAUGUGUUUAGUUUUCUCAUAGUGUAUCUGAUUUUUGCUUAAACAGAUAGCACUCUGACUAUCACAAUGAACUGCUAUUUGCCUCUGUUCAUACCCCGGUCAAUCACCAUUCCUUUAAGCCAAAUAGCUUCUUUUAUGGCAUCUGCUGCAGCAGUGUACUCGGCUUCAGUUGUUGACAAAGCAACAACAUUCUGCAAAGAAGCUUUCCAACUUAUAGUGCACCCACUCAGUCUGAACAGAUAUCCAGUCAAUGACCUCCUCUUAUCAAGGUCUCCAGCAUAGUCAGAAUCCACAAAACCUUCUACAUUGACCUCUUUCCUUUCAUCAGUUCCAUAUAUCAAACCAUAGUUUAUGGUGCCAUUAAGAUACCUCAGAAUCCAUAUCACAGCCUUCCAAUGUUCUUUCCCUGGAUUUGCCAUAUAUAUGCUUACUACACUCACUGCAUAAGACAAAUCAGGUCUGGUAAGAACCAUUGCAUACAUCAGACACCCUACUGCACUUGAAUAUAGAAUUGAGCUAGCUUCAGAUCUUCUAACAUCAGUUUUUGGACACUGUUGUGAUGACAAUCUGAAAUGAGCUGGUAGUGGAGUUUGAACUGGCUUGGCUUUUCCCAUUUCAAACCUUUCAAGCACUUUUCUGAUGUAAUUCUGUUGUGAUAAAAUCAGGGUGCCAUUCCUUCUAUCUCUAAUCAGCUCAACACCAAGGAUCUUCUUAGCCUCACCAAGAUCCUUCAUAUCAAAUGAACCCAUCAGCUGCUGUUUUAGCUUAUUUAUUUGAUCCAUAUGUUUACAUGCUAUCAGCAUGUCAUCAACAUAUAGUAACAAAUAAAUUUUUCUGUCAUCUCCCACAUCCUUAUGAUACACACAACAAUUAAAGGGACACCUCUGAAAACUGUUUUCAAGCAUAAACUUGUCAAACCUCAAGUACCAUUGUCUUGGGGAUUGCUUAAGCCCAUAUAAGGAUUUUCUGAGAUGACACACAUGAUCAGGUCUUCUAGGAUCUACAUAUCCUUCUAGUUGUUUCAUUACAAUCAUUUCAUUCAACUCACUAUGAAGAAAAGCAGUCUUAACAUCCAUCUGCUUAAGAUGCAUGUUAUUUACUGCUACCAGUGCUAGCAAGAUCCUUAAGGAGGUAUGCCUUACUACAGGAGAGAAGAUUUCUGUAUAAUCUAUACCUUCCUUUUGUGUGAAGCCUUUGGCUACAAGCCUGGCUUUGUAUCUCUUUGGCUCAACUUCUGGUAUACCGUCUUUAAUCUUGUAAACUCACUUACAGCCAACUACCUUCUUGUUUGGUGGUUUUUCAAUUAAAGUCCAAGUGUGAUUCUUGAACAGUGACUGCAUCUCCUCAUCUAUAGCAGCCUUCCAUUUUUCUGAUUCAUUUCCUCUUACAGCUUCUGAGUAUGUUUUUGGUUCAUCUGAGUCAAGUUCAUAUGCUGUUGUCAAUGCAAAUGCAAUCAGGUAUGCAUGUGCAUAUCUCUUAGGUGGUCUUAUAACCAUUCUUUCCAUGUCUCUCAUAAGUUGAUAACUCCUGUCACCUUGAUCAUCCUCAGAUUCAGUCUCUGAUUCAGAUAUAUUCCUCCCAGCUUCAGAUUCUGAUUCAACAAUGGUCUUCUGUUUUGCAACUAGAGUUGAUGACUCCACCUCAAACUGAGACUUGUGGUUCUCAAUCAUGUGGUGGUUGGAUUCAAUCUUUGAGGCUUCUGAGUGUUUGCACACUUCAGCCUCAUUGAAGACCACAUCCCUGCUGAUUAUGGCUUUUGGUGGCUUGAAAUUAGUGCACUAGAGCUUAUAUCAUUUUACCCAUUCUGGAUAGCCAAUAAACACACCCUUAAGAGCUCUAGGUUCCAGCUUCCCUUGUUUUGUGUGAGCAUAUGCAGGGCAUCCAAAUACCCUCAAGUUUGAGUAGUCAGCUGGCUUACCUGUCCAAAUCUCAAUUGGAGUUCUGAAGUUAAUUCUAGAAGAUGGACUCCUGUUAACAAUGUAAUAGGUAGUGGAUAUGGUUUUUGCCCAUAGUGACAUGGGUAGUCUUGAUUGAAUAAGCAUGUACCUUACCUUAUCAAUCAAGGUUCUGUUCAUCCUCUCAGCUAAUCCAUUUUGCUGAGGUGUAUGUCUCACUGUUUUGUGCCUUACAACUCCAUUCUCAGCACAGAAAACAUCAAACCUCUUAUUGCAAAAUUCUAACCCAUUGUCAGUUCUCAACCUUCUAACUUUUCUGUUGGUUUGUGUUUCAACCAAGGUCUUCCAGAUUUUGAAUUUCUCAAAAGCAUAAUCUUUGUUCUUUAACACAUAAACCCACACCAUCCUCGAAAAGUCAUCUAUUAGAGACAUGAAGUAUCUAGCUCCACCUAAAGAUGCUGUCUGUGUAGGCCCCCACAGAUCAGCAUGGAUAUAGUCUAGGGUUCCCUUUGAGUUAUGGACUCCAGUACAGAAUUUUACUCUUGAAGACUUGCCUAAUACACAUUCUUUACAAAACCUUAAAGUCUCUAUUUUGUCAUUCCCUAAGACUCCCUGCUUUGACAGUUCCCUCAGCCCUUUUUCACUCAUAUGGCCUAACCUUAAAUGCCACAUCAUUGUUUUAUCUAGACUCUGGUUUGAGACCCCAACAGCCCAUGUAACUGCUGUACCUUGAAGCACAUACAGGCCAUUGCUUAAGCUUCCCUUCAUUAAUACCAUUGACCCUCUCAUCACCUUUAAGGUACCUGAUUCCAGCUUAACAAGACAACCCAUUUUAUCUAGCAUGCCUAAGGAGAUUAGAUUCCUCUUCAGGUCAGGUACAUGUCAUACAUUUACCAACUCCCUUGUCAUACCAUCUAACAUUUUUAGUCUUAUUAUGCCUUUCCCAACUACCUUACAGAUUGCAUCAUUUCCCAUUACUACUACUCCCCCAUCAGAGGCUUCAUAGUUAAGAAACAAAUUUUUAUUUGGGCACAUAUGGAAUGAGCAACCAGAGUCUAGAACCCAAUUACCUCUGGUUUGGUCAUCGGUCACGAGUAGAACUCCAGCUGAGUCAUAUCUAUCAUAUUCUUGACUUUCUGAAGCAACAACAACAUCUCCAAUUUUCUCCCUUGUAUCUUUUGGCUUAUUUUUCCUUUCUGGGCAAUCCUUCUUGAAAUGACCUUCCUUGUGGCAGUGGAAGCAUUUCAUGUUCUUGGACCUGGAUUUGGAUAUUUUCUUCUUGCCCUUGUUGCUCUUUUUUUUUUCAGAUCUCCCUCUUGCCAUUAAACCUUCAGCUUCUCUUGCUUCCCUUUUUGUAGCAGCCUUGGAGCUCAAAGUUUCCUUCACAUAUACCAUUGUAAGAGUCUGCCUCCCAUACAUUAGUGUGUCAAUCAGAUGUUCAAAGGAGCUUGGUAAUGAGCACAACAAGAUCAUUGCUUUAUCUUCAUCAUCAAUCUUUACAUUUAUGUCUUCAAGAUCAAGAAUGAUCUUAUUGAAGGCAUCAAUGUGGUCUGUGAUCGAUGAUUCCUCUUCCAUUUGUAAUGUGUAAAGCUUUUUCUUGGUGCCUAAUCUCUUAGCCAUUGAUUUCUUGGUAUAUAAAUCUUCAAGCUUCUUCCAUAACCCUGCAGCUGUCAUCUCACCACCAACUUCUCUAAGUACCCCAUCACCCAGGCUCAAGAUUAUAGCACUAUGAACUCUGUCCAGCACAUCAGGUAGAUCAUCGUCAGAAACCAUUCUUGGCUUCUUUGAAGAUGAUUCUUCAACAAGAGCUUUAUCCAAACCUUGAUGCACAAGCAGGGCUCUCAUCUUGAGCCUCCACAGGUGAAAGUCAUUUUCACCUGUGAAUUUUUCCACCUCAAGCCUAGCUGAUCCCAUUUUCAAGAUUAAAGAAAGCAGUGACUGCUCUGAUACCAAUUUGUUGGACCAAGAUCAGCAAAUAACCAAUCUUAAUCCCCCAAGAUCCACUCGACUUAGCUUUAAUCAAAGAACUAAUUAAGAUCAACUAAUGCUACGUGGAACUAUUUAUCGAAAUCAACAGAUAUCAAACAAAAGAAACACAGAAAAACAAUCUCACAGCAACACAAGAGGGGUUAAGUGGUUCAGUCACGAAGUGACCUACAUCCACUGUGAAAGAGAGAGAGAGCCUUUACUGAUUCAGUGUACACAAGAUACAAGAUGCCUUAGAAAACUAUCAUGCACUUUAACUCUACAACAAUGAAAUGAAUACCACUUAUAUACACGCUUGAAUUGCUCUAGAAACAACCCCCAGAAGCCAGCUCACCAGACCUGGGUUUGUUUGAAACAAACCCAGAAAUUUCCCGCUGAUCUCAAUAGCAUUAACAACCAUUCAAACUGGCUUCAAUACACGUGUAGAAGCUUCACUCAAAACGCAGCCUUCUUCAGUCGUUUACAGUAAGUAAAGCAUGUGCAACAUCACGUGCUUAACUUAUUCAUUUGGCUGAUGCUCCAGGCUUGUCAUACGUCUCAUUUGUAACACAUAACCGACAUAUCAUCCAGUCCUGAAACGCAAGACUGAUAUGUCGCUUUCAACUACAAACUUAGAUUUGCAGUUCACUUCUCAACAAUAUAUAUGUAUGUAUGUAUGUAUGUAUGUAUGUAUGUAUGUAUGUAUGUAUGUAUGUAUGUGAGGCUUCUGUUUGAACAAAAUCUUUAGAUCUUAGAAUUGACACACAUGGGGCAUUAUUCAGAACUGCAACUAGGAAAUAAUUGAAACAAACCGAUUCUAUAUUAAUAUCAUAUAAGGCUUGAAAUUUUCUCAGGAUUUCAGCACAAAAUUUUUAUUGAAAAAAUAGGAGUUCACAUGGGCAUGUAAACAUUUCCGAUUCUGAAGAACAAGAAAGCCAAAAAGUCCCUUUAUUUUUAUUUUUAUUAUUUUUAAAGUUCGCUGACUUAAGUUUGAUAUACACAAUAUCCGUAUAACGGAAAUAUGCCGAAAAGUUUGAUAUACACAAUAUCCGUAUAACGGAAAUUUGCCUUCGGCAUAGCUCAAUUGGCGUUUGCCGUGCAUAAGCUUUAAAUACGCCGUCAACUAAAUUUGAAUUAGUAUUUAGUGGUUGAGAUUUCUCAUCGUCAUCUUAACUCUAAAAAUACAAAAAAAGAAAAAAGAAAAAUGGUGCAUGAUACAAAUUUAAUGGGAAAUGUAAGAUGUCUGAAGAAAACAAAAAUAAAUAUAUAAAUCAGAUUUGGUAAAAAUAAUACCUUUUCAUUGAUGUUACGAAAUGACAUAGAUAUUCAUGCUCUAGCUCUUGAAUCCACAAUUAUGGAAUCUUAAAUGGUCCACAAAAGACGCCCAAUAAAACUCAUAUCAUACAAAAUUCCUAGCCCUAAAAAGCACCAGAAGAAAUAGCACUUUCAGCCGAAAUUUUUUCACAAAGCUCCA
Molecule: long non-coding RNA, 11509 nt
Filed under: Citrus maxima (pomelo)
Lineage: Eukaryota; Viridiplantae; Streptophyta; Magnoliopsida; Sapindales; Rutaceae
Description: long non-coding RNA (CMAX_LNC002262)
Source: RNAcentral